RNAcentral lists this ribosomal RNA (274 nucleotides) under uncultured bacterium. RNAcentral's name for it is "partial 16S ribosomal RNA". It matches the Rfam family "Bacterial small subunit ribosomal RNA", at positions 523 to 796 of the family's 1533-position model. The record is from RNAcentral.
AUACGGAGGGGGUUAGCGUUGUUCGGAAUUACUGGGCGUAAAGCGCACGUAGGCGGACUGGAAAGUUGGGGGUGAAAUCCCGGGGCUCAACCCCGGAACUGCCUCCAAAACUUCCAAUCUAGAGAUCGAGAGAGGUGAGUGGAAUUCCAAGUGUAGAGGUGAAAUUCGUAGAUAUUUGGAGGAACACCAGAGGCGAAGGCGGCUCACUGGCUCGAUACUGACGCUGAGGUGCGAAAGCGUGGGGAGCAAACAGGAGUAGAAACCCUAGUAGUCC